CCUACGGGAGGCAGCAGUGGGGAAUAUUGCACAAUGGGCGCAAGCCUGAUGCAGCCAUGCCGCGUGUAUGAAGAAGGCCUUCGGGUUGUAAAGUACUUUCAGUGGGGAGGAAGGCGACGGAGUUAAUAGCUUCGUCGAUUGACGUUACCCGCAGAAGAAGCACCGGCUAACUCCGUGCCAGCAGCCGCGGUAAU
This 194-nucleotide ribosomal RNA is filed under the name uncultured bacterium. Its description in RNAcentral is "partial 16S ribosomal RNA". It matches the Rfam family "Bacterial small subunit ribosomal RNA", at positions 338 to 524 of the family's 1533-position model. The record is from RNAcentral.